CCUGAGAAGAGCACCCAGCUAGGCUAUGCCUGGACUUCGGAGCUGCAGAAACUGAGGUGUUCGCAUUUCACCAACCAUGCGGGGGCCAGCCAGUUGAGGGGUCAAAUGAAGAGACAUUUUUCAAGGACCCCUUCACCCAAUUUCCCCAGCUUCCUCCUGAGUUAAGGCUUCUAUUGUAGGAAUGUUCUCUCUGUGAAUGUCUCCGUUUGGUGGAUGAGUCACUGGCAAAGAAGAACCUAACACCUUGAUUCUAAGAUUCACAUGGAAAUGCGAAGGCCCUAAAAUAGUCAAAUGAUUUUGGAAAAUGUAAAAGAAAUUUACUCCACAUGACUCCAAGACUUACCAUACAACUAGUGUGAUAUUAGCAUAGGCGGAGACACAUAGGUCAACGGAAAAGAGUAGAGUCCAGAAACAGACCCACUCAUAUAUGCUCAAUUGAUUUUGACAAAGGUGCUGAGGAAUUUCAACAGGAAAAGGAUAAUCUUUUCAACAAAUGGUGCUACAGCAAUGGGCCCUUACCUUACACCACACAUAGAAAUUAACUUGAAGGGUCUCGUAAAUGUAGAUGUAAGAGCUAAAACUAUUAAAAUUAUAGGGGGAAAAAGCUUAGGGGAAGAUCUUUGUGACUUUGGAGUAAGCCAGGAGUUUUUUGAUGGGACACA
RNAcentral lists this long non-coding RNA (662 nucleotides) under Equus caballus (horse). RNAcentral describes it as "lncRNA (ENSECAG00000051732.1)". Lineage: Eukaryota; Metazoa; Chordata; Mammalia; Perissodactyla; Equidae. The record is from RNAcentral.